CGGUUAUACCAAGUGAUUAAGUUAUAUAUUUAGGUAAAAAGAUAGUUAAGCAUAGAAGUAAUUAGUUUAUUGAUCGCUUAUAUAAAGGUAAAAUUUGCUCAUAAGAAGCUAAUCUAGAAAUAACUUUAAUGCUGAAGCUAUGAUAAUCUCGAGGGAAACUGGGAUUAGAUACCCCACUAUUCUUGAUUGUAAAUGAAAAUUAAUUUACCAGAGCACUAUGAAUAAUUAAAAAUUUAAAACUCAAAGGGCUUGGCGGUGUUCUAGACCUAUCAGGGGAACCUGUCUCAUAAUCGACAAUCCACGAUAUACCUAACCUUAUUUUGUAUUUCAGUUUGUAUACCGUCGUCGUCAGGUAACUUUUAAAAAUAUAGAAGUUAGCAAUGUAAAUUUAAUAAGUUAAGACGUCAGAUCAAGGUGCAGCUUAUAGUAAGGACGAGGAUGGGUUACAAUUAUAAUAAUUAUAACUACGGAUAUUUAAGUGAAAAUAUUUUGAAGGAGGACUUGAAAGUCAAUUCUAUUUAUAUAUAAAUUAAUUGAAUAAGGCUCUG
This 548-nucleotide ribosomal RNA is filed under the name Reticunassa paupera. Its description in RNAcentral is "partial 12S ribosomal RNA". The record is from RNAcentral. Lineage: Eukaryota; Metazoa; Mollusca; Gastropoda; Neogastropoda; Nassariidae.